GUGCCAGCAGUCGCGGUCAUACUCUUUGUUACUAAAUAUAAUUUAAUUUUAAGGUUUUAUUAGUUUAAUUAAUUAUUCUUAAGUGAAACUAUAAUAUGUAUUUUUAAUGCCUAAAAUUGUAAUUUUAUAAGAAAAUAGGAUUAGAAACCCUAGUAUCAUAAGCAUACAUUAAAGUAGUAUCGGAUUUUCCUUAAACUUAAUUCUUCUGGCGGUUUACUACACUUUUAGAGGAAUUUGCUUUUCUAAUCGAUAACCCGCUCUUAUUUUUUCCAUUUUUAAUUUUAUGUACGGCUGUUUAGUAAUAAGGUAAAUCUUGUUACUUUAAAACUUACUUUUUAUUUCAGGUCAAUGUAUAGAGCAUAAAAUGGAGAAGAGUGAAUUACCUUCCUUAGAGGUUUAAAUUAUACUAGAUUGUAAAAUGGAUUUACUAGUAAAUCAAUAAUUGAAUUUUUA
Molecule: ribosomal RNA, 453 nt
Filed under: Suidasia sp. 1 YEZ-2017
Lineage: Eukaryota; Metazoa; Arthropoda; Arachnida; Sarcoptiformes; Suidasiidae
Also listed under: 4 other names
Description: 12S ribosomal RNA
Source: RNAcentral